AAAGUCGUAACAAGGUCUCCGUUGGUGAACCAGCGGAGGGAUCAUUACCGAGUCUCAAAACUCACCAACCCUUUGUGAAUAUACCUAAAACUAGUCCCUCCGGCAGGGAACCCCAGGGCGGGGUUCAGCGUCGAGCAACCUGCCGAAGGCGGCGCAAAUUUUGCUCUAUAUUGUAUCAUCUGAGCCUAAAACAAAAUAUCAAAAUUUUCAAUUGUGGAUCUCUUGGUUCUG
RNAcentral lists this unclassified non-coding RNA (231 nucleotides) under Ascomycota sp. RNAcentral's name for it is "partial contains small subunit ribosomal RNA, internal transcribed spacer 1, and 5.8S ribosomal RNA". The stretch from base 1 to 47 matches the Rfam family "Eukaryotic small subunit ribosomal RNA", at positions 1785 to 1831 of the family's 1831-position model. The record is from RNAcentral. Lineage: Eukaryota; Fungi; Ascomycota.